GACGAACGCUGGCGGCGUGCUUAACACAUGCAAGUCGAACGGAAAGGCCCUGCUUUUGUGGGGUGCUCGAGUGGCGAACGGGUGAGUAACACGUGAGUAACCUGCCCUUGACUUUGGGAUAACUUCAGGAAACUGGGGCUAAUACCGGAUAGGAGCUCCUGCUGCAUGGUGGGGGUUGGAAAGUUUCGGCGGUUGGGGAUGGACUCGCGGCUUAUCAGCUCGUUGGUGGGGUAGUGGCUUACCAAGGCUUUGACGGGUAGCCGGCCUGAGAGGGUGACCGGCCACAUUGGGACUGAGAUACGGCCCAGACGCCUACGGGAGGCAGCAGUGGGGAAUAUUGCACAAUGGGCGGAAGCCUGAUGCAGCAACGCCGCGUGCGGGAUGACGGCCUUCGGGUUGUAAACCGCUUUCGCCUGUGACGAAGCGUGAGUGACGGUAAUGGGUAAAGAAGCACCGGCUAACUACGU
Molecule: ribosomal RNA, 467 nt
Filed under: uncultured bacterium
Lineage: Bacteria
Description: partial 16S ribosomal RNA
Rfam family: Bacterial small subunit ribosomal RNA
Source: RNAcentral